GGGGAUGUAGGCAAAUUGGCUAAGCCGCUUGACCUUCAAUCAAGAGAUGUGCGAGUUCAAGUCUCGUCAUCCCCGCCA
This 78-nucleotide transfer RNA is filed under the name Acidobacteriota bacterium. Its description in RNAcentral is "tRNA-Glu". It matches the Rfam family "tRNA". From Rfam's summary of the family: Transfer RNA (tRNA) molecules are approximately 80 nucleotides in length. Their secondary structure includes four short double-helical elements and three loops (D, anti-codon, and T loops). Lineage: Bacteria; Pseudomonadati; Acidobacteriota. The record is from RNAcentral.